AGAAGGGAGGUGGUCGCCCUCCGUCGUGGUCUGGCGUGUAUUCCGAGCGUUGGUGUCUGGCGGUUUCCGAGCGUUGGUGUCUGGCGGUUUCUGACCGUUGGUGUCUGGCGGUUUCCGACCGUUGGUGUCUGGCACGCGCCACCCUCUCUUGCUUUGGUUGCGCCAUGCCGAUGUACCAGAGACGGGGUUUUGCCAUGUUGACCAGGCUGGUCUUGAACUCCUGACCUCAGGCGAUCCGCCCGCCUUGAACUCCCAAAGUGCUGGAUUACAGGUGUGAGCCACCGUGCCCGGCACCUAAACAACAUAGUUUUGAUAUAGACAAGAAGACAAGAAAAUGAUUUGAGGACAGCUUCAAUCGCGGUGUGAAGAAGAAAGCAGCAAAACGACCACUGAAAACAACGCCGGUGGCAAAAUAUCCAAAGAAAGGGUCCCAAGCGGUACAUCGUCAUAGCCGGAAACAGUCAGAGCCACCAGCCAAUGAUAUUUUCAAUGCUGCGAAAGCUGCCAAAAGUGACAUGCAGGGAUGUCCUUCCUGAGAUCCGUGCUAUCUGCAUUGAGGAAAUUGGGUGUUGGAUGCAAAGCUACAGCACGUCUUUCCUCACCGACAGCUAUUUAAAAUAUAUUGGUUGGACUCUGCAUGAUAAGCACCGAGAAGUCCGCGUGAAGUGCGUGAAGGCUCUGAAAGGGCUGUACGGUAACCGGGACCUGACCGCACGCCUUCACUGGCCGCUUCAAGGACUGGAUGGUUUCCAUGAUCGUGGACAGAGAGUACAGUGUGGCAGUGGAGGCCGUCAGAUUACUGAUACUUAUCCUUAAGAACAUGGAAGGGGUGCUGAUGGACGUGGACUGUGAGAGCGUCUACCCCAUUGUGUAGGCCUCUAAUUGAGGCCUGGCCUCUGCUGUGGGUGAAUUUCUGUACUGGAAACUUUUCUACCCUGAGUGCGAGAUAAGAACGAUGGGUGGAAGAGAGCAACG
RNAcentral lists this long non-coding RNA (975 nucleotides) under Homo sapiens (human). RNAcentral describes it as "novel transcript". The record is from RNAcentral. Lineage: Eukaryota; Metazoa; Chordata; Mammalia; Primates; Hominidae.